Molecule: transfer RNA, 68 nt
Filed under: Ninurta coeruleopunctatus
Lineage: Eukaryota; Metazoa; Chordata; Lepidosauria; Squamata; Cordylidae
Description: tRNA-Val
Rfam family: tRNA
About the family: Transfer RNA (tRNA) molecules are approximately 80 nucleotides in length. Their secondary structure includes four short double-helical elements and three loops (D, anti-codon, and T loops).
Source: RNAcentral
CAAAGAGUAGCUUAAAACAAAGCACUCAACUUACAAUUGAGAAAUGUUACCUACCCAAACCUCUUUGC